GGGCCUGUGGCCUAGUUUGGAGCGAACUUAAAGCGUUUCGCGAACAGAUAGGGCACCUGCCUGCGGAGCAGGAGAUCUCGAGUUCAAAUCUCGACAGGCCCA
RNAcentral lists this transfer RNA (102 nucleotides) under Promethearchaeota archaeon. Its description in RNAcentral is "Candidatus Lokiarchaeota archaeon tRNA-Arg". It matches the Rfam family "tRNA". Rfam says of the family: Transfer RNA (tRNA) molecules are approximately 80 nucleotides in length. Their secondary structure includes four short double-helical elements and three loops (D, anti-codon, and T loops). Lineage: Archaea; Promethearchaeati; Promethearchaeota. The record is from RNAcentral.